Molecule: ribosomal RNA, 220 nt
Filed under: uncultured Anoxybacillus sp.
Lineage: Bacteria; Bacillati; Bacillota; Bacilli; Caryophanales; Anoxybacillaceae
Description: partial 16S ribosomal RNA
Rfam family: Bacterial small subunit ribosomal RNA
Source: RNAcentral
CGGAGGAAGGUGGGGAGUGACGUCAAAUCAUCAUGCCCCUUAUGACCUGGGCUACACACGUGCUACAAUGGGCGGUACAAAGGGUCGCGAACCCGCGAGGGGGAGCCAAUCCCAAAAAGCCGCUCUCAGUUCGGAUUGCAGGCUGCAACUCGCCUGCAUGAAGCCGGAAUCGCUAGUAAUCGCGGAUCAGCAUGCCGCGGUGAAUACGUUCCCGGGCCUU